GCCUGGCUAGCUCAGUCGGUAGAGCAUGGGGCUCUUAAUCCCAGGGUCCUGGGUUUGACCUCCACAUUGGGUA
RNAcentral lists this transfer RNA (73 nucleotides) under Rattus norvegicus (Norway rat). It matches the Rfam family "tRNA". Rfam says of the family: Transfer RNA (tRNA) molecules are approximately 80 nucleotides in length. Their secondary structure includes four short double-helical elements and three loops (D, anti-codon, and T loops). Further hydrogen bonds mediate the characteristic L-shaped molecular structure. tRNAs have two regions of fundamental functional importance: the anti-codon, which is responsible for specific mRNA codon recognition, and the 3' end, to which the tRNAs corresponding amino acid is attached (by aminoacyl-tRNA synthetases). tRNAs cope with the degeneracy of the genetic code in two manners: having more than one tRNA (with a specific anti-codon) for a particular amino acid; and 'wobble' base-pairing, i.e. permitting non-standard base-pairing at the 3rd anti-codon position. The record is from Rfam by way of RNAcentral. Lineage: Eukaryota; Metazoa; Chordata; Mammalia; Rodentia; Muridae.